RNAcentral lists this ribosomal RNA (472 nucleotides) under uncultured organism. RNAcentral's name for it is "partial 16S ribosomal RNA". It matches the Rfam family "Bacterial small subunit ribosomal RNA", at positions 332 to 796 of the family's 1533-position model. The record is from RNAcentral.
UACACUCCUGCGGGAGGCAGCAGUGGGGAAUUUUGGACAAUGGGCGAAAGCCUGAUCCAGCCAUGCCGCGUGCAGGAUGAAGGCCUUCGGGUUGUAAACUGCUUUUGUACGGAACGAAACGGCCUUUUCUAAUAAAGAGGGCUAAUGACGGUACCGUAAGAAUAAGCACCGGCUAACUACGUGCCAGCAGCCGCGGUAAUACGUAGGGUGCAAGCGUUAAUCGGAAUUACUGGGCGUAAAGCGUGCGCAGGCGGUUAUGUAAGACAGUUGUGAAAUCCCCGGGCUCAACCUGGGAACUGCAUCUGUGACUGCAUAGCUAGAGUACGGUAGAGGGGGAUGGAAUUCCGCGUGUAGCAGUGAAAUGCGUAGAUAUGCGGAGGAACACCGAUGGCGAAGGCAAUCCCCUGGACCUGUACUGACGCUCAUGCACGAAAGCGUGGGGAGCAAACAGGAUUAGAAACCCCAGUAGUCC